GCACCCCCUCCACACACACACACACACACACACACACACACGCUGCAUGCACCCCCUCCACACACACACACGCUGCAUGCACCCCCUCCACACACACACACACACACACUGCAUGCACCCCCUCCACACAGACACACACACACACACACACUGCAUGCACCCCCUCCACACAGACACACACACACACACACACACACACACACGCUGCAUGCACCCCCUCCACACACACACACACUGCAUGCACCCCCUCCACACAGACACACACACACACACUGCAUGCACCCCCUCCACACAGACACACACACACACACACACGCUGCAUGCACCCCCUCCACACACACACACACACUGCAUGCACCCCCUCCACACAGACACACACACACACACACACACACACGCUGCAUGCACCCCCUCCACACAGACACACACACACACACGCUGCAUGCACCCCCUCCACACACACACACGCUGCAUGCACCCCCUCCACACACACAGAGUGUAUGCACCCCCCUCCACACACACACUGCAUGCACCCCCUCCACACACACACACACUGCAUGCACCCAACAAUGACUGUAGCACCUCCCCACAGCUUCUGCAUUUGCCCCCACAUGCAGAGAAGCUAUUUUUCUCACAUACACACACACACUGCAUGCACCCAACAAUGACUACAGCACCCCCCCAACAUGCAGAGAAGCUAUUUUGCUUUUACACACUUUAUACAUGCACCCAACAAUGAAUACAGCACCUCCCACACAAUAACGCAGCUUCUGCAUUAGCCCCCAAAUCCACACACGCACACUGCAUGCAUGCACCUAGCAAUGAACACACACACACUGCAUGCACGCACCCAAUUAAUACAGCACCUCCCCCCCACACAAACACCACUGCAUUGCCCCCAAAUCCAGAGCAGCUAUUUUUCUUCCACACAAAGCAGUCUUGUGUGUUUAGAUGUUUGUAUACGUGUGUGGAGAGGAAGGAAGGAAGGAUGGUGGGAGAGACACGGCAGUAGGCUCUUUUUAUGCGUGCUACAAUAUGACGAUAUGCUUAAAAAUGCAGUUCAGCCAACUGAGCUUUGCAUGACGUCUCUUUUUCUUCCUUCUGAGGACCUUUCGGUGCAGAUUUAAAAGCAACAACAACAAAGCAAAACCCAAAGCAGAAACACAAGAGACAAUAUUCCCUUUCCAAAAAAACAACCCCCCCCCCCAAAAUCAAAUGCAUGUACUAAGCAGCAUUCAAAUGCAGCACAGAGAAACUAAUGCAGCAAAUGGGGAUUUGGAGCAGUAAAUACUGUAUGUGACAAAACUUAGUGAUUUUGUUUUCUCAUGCCCUUACUUCUAAACCAGCUGCACAGCCAAGCUGAGGCUGCUUGGCCCUUAUAACUAUCUUGGCACCGAGUCAAAAGCUGAUAAGCAUUUGGGCGAGACAGCUCAACUGCUGUGCUGGAAGAAAAACAGCUGCCAUGAUUGCUGUUUGAUUGAGAGCGCUUACACACACACAAAAAAAAAACCACAUCGGACUGCAAAGACAGGCCACAAACGCCUGAGGAUUCAGAUUUAGAGGAUCCACAUACGUUUUCUUAAAAAAAAAGUUUUCUAAGGCUUUCCUUCCUUAUUGUUUUAUUAUUUUAGAAGAAAACGUGCUACGUAGACUUGCUUUUCUUCUUCCCAUCCCCCCUCCAUAACCUCAAGCAAACUCAAGGAAUCGUGCCAAAAGUCCCGUUGCUAGUUACCAAGUGCAUUUUUUUAAACGUCCGUUUGAUACUUCUUUCCCUCAAGCUCGCUGUGGAAUACGCAAGAGAAAGGAAUUUGCCCUAAGAUACUGUGGUUGUUGGCAAGCAGUGAACCGACCAAGACCAAAAUGAGAAAACAGAACAAUGUUAGAACAUACAAUAUGGCACUUACCUCUUCCAGAAUUUCUGUAUGACCUUGGUCAAGCAGCUUAAACACUUUGUGCUCCCUGUCCCGCACUAUAAAGAUUCCAGUCUUCAUGGUUAUAAAGAAAAUCCUGACUAUACCACCUGAUUGAAUCCAAAUGUAUCGAAAAGCAAAAAAGGCUACUAUAAAAUCUCCAAGGAAAUUUACUCAUGAAAAACAAAGUUUUGGUGUUUUGACACUCAUGAGCCAAAACAGCCAACCUCUAAAGAUGAAAGAUACUAAACUGAAGUGCUGGCUAUUUGGUAAUUCUGAAAAGUUUCCAAUAAACAAAGUAGCUUUUUUAAAAGCAUCAUGUGAAAGUGGUUAUUUUACUUUGCUACUGGAGCUUACCAUGUUUCUGAUGCAAUAUUCAUUUUUGCAAGCCUGCUCUCUUGGAAAGGGUAUAGUGGCUCAUCAGUCUGCACCAUUAAUUAAACAAUAAUUAAUCUGAUGAUUGAACCAACCAAGAAAAGCAAGAAAACUCAGUUAAACUUGAUGUUGUAUGUUCAGUAGACAUAGUAUGUUGGGGGGAUGGAAAAUAUAAAUGAAUAAAAAUGGUAGAGGAGUGGGAGAGGGGAAAUGGGUAUUUCAGCUUGCUCAUUGUUCCCAGUCAGCACUGAGAGCUCAGUUGAAAUGGUAUGUACACCCUGAGAACAAUUCGCAUCUGAACAAUGCAUGAUGAUCUCAAGGAUACUAUUCUUGACUAGGAAGAUAGGUCAGCCCAAAGUAAUACCUUUAGUGGUAAUGGAGGACAAAGGGAGAUCACAUUAUCCUGAAAGACCUCUGCUCUAUUAAAAAGGAAACAAAAAAUGUUAAAAGUUGUGGUUGAGCAUCAACUUUAACUUUGUAAUUUCCUUGCUUUUGUUGCUUUUUGUCACAACUAUAAUAUUAUUCAAACAUAGCUUUUUGUUUAUGAAUUUACCUUUAACACAGAACUGUUUGACAAGCACUGUUUAUGCAGUUUGUCAGAUGCCAUUACUUUCUUACACAUAACUAUGCAUGGUGACACUACAAAGCUCUCUUUCAAGCUUGUUUUAGUUCAGCAAGGUUAGGUUUUUACUGAAUUACUUUAAAAUAAAAUAAAUAAUGAAAAAGGGAGAAGGUAAUAAGAUCAGUGUUAAUUCAAUCACAUUUCUAAGGUUAUUUUGACCUUUAAACAAGUGGUCAAACACAUUUUGCCUGCUUAUUUUUAUACAGAUAUAUCUGUCAGGAACUCAUGGGCAAGCUUGUACUGGGACCCCUGAUAUCCCGUGUGUUGUAAAAUAAAUCUGUACUGGUCUACUCCCAAUCUAAAUAUACUUUUGAAUAAAGCUCUCACUUGCAGGUAUAAAUCUCACAAAUCAAAUUCUGCUCCAAGAACUGUAAUUUAGUGAAUUUAUAUUCUCAAAUUAACAGGUGAUGAAAAACAAUACAUUAAAGAUUUCUUGAACUCUACUAUAAUACACUUCUGUUGGAUCUAAUUUGUACUGAAUGAUUCAUGUCCUAGUGGUUUUUCUAGUUUUACUUUCAUAUUUCUCCCAUUACUACUUUAGAUAAAUUUUUAAAUCUAGAAUUUCCUACUUUACCAAGUCUAGUUACUAUGCUGCAUGAAGAAACCUCAUUAAGUGAAGAUUAGCGAGCAUUAUAAGGCUUUCACAGCAUACUUGGAGACAACAUAGUGACCAAAGAGCUAUGCUACCUAGGAAGGUAUUACUUAAGUUAGGUUUUAAAAUACAAAGCCACCUCUUAAGAAUAACCCUAUUUAUGACAAACCCUGCUUUCAACAGCAGGAUUUGAUUUCUUUCAUUAUUAUGAUGCAGAAAUUGACUAACCCUUUUUUGGUGAAUUUCUUAUUCAGUCCAAUGGGGUUCAUUAUAAUGAACUUGUACUGUGCUAAGAUUUAACACUGCAAAUAUGAGGGAUUUAUGCUCCCAAAAUGCCAACAUAAUAAAAGCUAAUUUCAAUGUAACUUUAUAUAAUGGAGUGCAUCCCUCUUUGUUCCCCAGUAUAAAGCAAUGUAGUAUUCUGCUGAACACAAUUCAGCCUUAUUCCACAUUACAGAUAAGAAAUUGUACGUUCUCUUUCUACGAAGUAGCCAACCGGCGGUCAGUCUGGUCAGCAACUUUUUUAAAAGUUUGCAAUACAAUUUAAAAAUUCCUUUUUUCUUUUUUGCAUGUUUUCAUUACCUCUACUUCCAGGAAUACAAAAGCUAACUUUUCACAAGCAGAUGCCUCAGUCUAGUUCAUUUACUUCAUAAGGUCCUUCUUGUCUAAUUAAACUAUUCCUUUUUUGUAAAGUAAAAGAAACAAUAAGAUUUUUUUUUGCUGUAUCUGUGAUUUUUUUCAUAAAAAGAUAUGGUUGUUUAUCACACUUUGAUCCUUUAUAGGGGAAAAAGGGAAACUUUAUUUCCCUUUUCCCCUAUAAAGGAUUAUAUUAUAAAGGACACGUGGAUUUUUUCUUGAGUUAUGCUACAGAAAUAGCAAAGCAUAUAACUAAAAUUGCCAUGGAACUAUUGGUUCCUGAUAUACUGAACAGCAAAGGAAAUAGUCGCAGGAACUAUGUAAACUGCUUUCCACCCCAACUUAACAGUCUGCUUUCUGCCAAUAUUUCAAGCAUACUUUGCUGACUAAGCAUAUUUUAUACAUUAUUGCAGGGUGCAAUUUUUUUUUUCAUCUGUUCUGCUCGUUAAGAGUACUUGAUUACAAAAAGAUGCAAAGUAAUACAUGGUAAAAAGGAAGAUCUACUAAAAUUUAAAUUCAGAAAUUUCUCAGGAAACAUCUUCCCCUCCUGUUCCUAGAAAAGUAUAUGAAAAUCUCAUGUAACUGUGUUUAUUUCUCUAUGGCUUUCAUUGGUAUUCCUAUAACUUUUUUAUGUUACAAACUUUAACGAGGUUCUUACUUGAACCUUCCCAAGCAUUAACUGCUUUUAGUUUACAGUGGAGUUUAGGAUGUUUGCUUUGUUCUGUAGAAUCCUAAAUGACUGGCACCUGCCUAUUUAAAAGAAAAAAAGAAUCACAUCUUUUCCCUCUGCAUUGCCACUGAAGUUGCAGCCAGUGAGGAUGUUCCAGGUCAAGUCCCCUUGGUACAGAGAUGGCUGAGGACUCUUUGGCUGUGGAACUUGCUCCAACACUUGGUCAGAAAGAUGGAACCUGCUGACACAGGGCUUGCUCCUCCGGAUUGCUGAGAUUAUGGAUAUGAUGGGGCAUGCAAAAUGGAUUUCUUAUCCUUGGACCAUGGGUGAAAUUCAGCCCCUACUCCAGUCUGUGUCAACACUUCCAUUACCUUCAAUGGGGUUAAGAUUUCACCUGACUAUAUGAAAAGGGCAAAGGCAGUAGCGAAUAAAUGACA
This is a long non-coding RNA of Alligator mississippiensis (American alligator), 5242 nucleotides long. RefSeq lists it as uncharacterized. The record is from RefSeq and is a predicted model, not a curated record. NCBI's taxonomy places the organism in Eukaryota, Metazoa, Chordata, Crocodylia, Alligatoridae. The transcript has 4 exons.